This 149-nucleotide ribosomal RNA is filed under the name uncultured bacterium. RNAcentral's name for it is "partial 16S ribosomal RNA". It matches the Rfam family "Bacterial small subunit ribosomal RNA", at positions 367 to 528 of the family's 1533-position model. The record is from RNAcentral.
UGCAAUGGGCGCAAGCCUUGAACAGCAGCAAUACCGCGUGAAGGAUGAAGGCCUACGGGUUGUAAACUUCUUUUCUCAAGGAGGAAGACAUGACGUUACUUGAGGAAUAAGCAUCGGCUAACCCUGUGCCAGCAGCCGCGGUAAUACGA